GACGAACGCUGGCGGCGUGCUUAACACAUGCAAGUCGAACGGUGAAGCGCCUUCCUUUUUGGUGGGUGUGGAUGAGUGGCGAACGGGUGAGUAACACGUGAGUAACCUGCCCCCUUCUUCUGGAUAACCGCAUGAAAGUGUGGCUAAUACGGGAUAUUCUGGGUCUGUCGCAUGAUGGGUCUGGGAAAGAUAUUGUUUCGGUGGGGGAUGGGCUCGCGGCCUAUCAGCUUGUUGGUGGGGUGAUGGCCUACCAAGGCGGUGACGGGUAGCCGGCCUGAGAGGGUGGACGGUCACACUGGGACUGAGACACGGCCCAGACUCCUACGGGAGGCAGCAGUGGGGAAUAGUGCACAAUGGGCGCAAGCCUGAUGCAGCGACGCCGCGUGAGGGAUGGAGGCCUGCGGGUUGUGAACAUCUUUCGCCAGUGAAGCAGGCCUGCCUCGUUUGUGGGUGGGUUGACGGUAGCUGGAUAAGAAGCGCCGGCUAACUACGUG
Molecule: ribosomal RNA, 494 nt
Filed under: uncultured bacterium
Lineage: Bacteria
Description: partial 16S ribosomal RNA
Rfam family: Bacterial small subunit ribosomal RNA
Source: RNAcentral